This 397-nucleotide long non-coding RNA is filed under the name Strongylocentrotus purpuratus (purple sea urchin). Its description in RNAcentral is "uncharacterized LOC115927473". Lineage: Eukaryota; Metazoa; Echinodermata; Echinoidea; Camarodonta; Strongylocentrotidae. The record is from RNAcentral.
UUUAUUUAGUAUUUAUUGAUUUAGCUUGACAUUGCAAUAAUAGAACAACAGAGGGCAUUUGGUCAAAGAUUACUUUGACAGUUCUUAUUUAAAGUUUUUCUAGUUUGAAGGUCAGAAACUUGUUUGGCGCCACCUGUUGUUGGCUGAUUUGAAAUGAUCAUGUUUGCAACAUGAUUUCUGUUUUGUGAGGAAAAUCUGUGGUUUUCUGGAGCAUCCUUUGUUCCUGAGAGCUGUUUCUACAGUAUUAUGGAGGCACAGAGUUUUCACGGAGUGAAGGGAAGAAGAACGGAAUAAAGCAGUGGAAGGAGUAUUAAGAUAAAAGAUUCGUUCAUCAAAGACAGAGUUGCAUUCCCCUUGAUGGUUAUGACUCUAAAAUAAACUGACACUCCCGUAAAAA